GAUGAACGCUGGCGGCGUGCUUAACACAUGCAAGUCGAACGAUGAAGCCCAGCUUGCUGGGUGGAUUAGUGGCGAACGGGUGAGUAACACGUGAGUAACCUGCCCUUAACUCUGGGAUAAGCCUGGGAAACUGGGUCUAAUACCGGAUAGGAGCGCCUACCGCAUGGUGGGUGUUGGAAAGAUUUAUCGGUUUUGGAUGGACUCGCGGCCUAUCAGCUUGUUGGUGAGGUAAUGGCUCACCAAGGCGACGACGGGUAGCCGGCCUGAGAGGGUGACCGGCCACACUGGGACUGAGACACGGCCCAGACUCCUACGGGAGGCAGCUGUGGGGAAUAUUGCACAAUGGGCGAAAGCCUGAUGCAGCGACGCCGCGUGAGGGAUGACGGCCUUCGGGUUGUAAACCUCUUUCAGUAGGGAAGAAGCGAAAGUGACGGUACCUGCAGAAGAAGCACCGGCUAACUACGUG
Molecule: ribosomal RNA, 466 nt
Filed under: uncultured bacterium
Lineage: Bacteria
Description: partial 16S ribosomal RNA
Rfam family: Bacterial small subunit ribosomal RNA
Source: RNAcentral